This 573-nucleotide ribosomal RNA is filed under the name Paraburkholderia sp. RNAcentral's name for it is "bacterial SSU rRNA". It matches the Rfam family "Bacterial small subunit ribosomal RNA", at positions 425 to 990 of the family's 1533-position model. Lineage: Bacteria; Pseudomonadati; Pseudomonadota; Betaproteobacteria; Burkholderiales; Burkholderiaceae. The record is from RNAcentral.
GUAAAGCACUUUUUGUCCGGAAAGAAAACCUCCGCCCUAAUAUGGUGGGGGGAUGACGGUACCGGAAGAAUAAGCACCGGCUAACUACGUGCCAGCAGCCGCGGUAAUACGUAGGGUGCAAGCGUUAAUCGGAAUUACUGGGCGUAAAGCGUGCGCAGGCGGUCCGCUAAGACAGAUGUGAAAUCCCCGGGCUUAACCUGGGAACUGCAUUUGUGACUGGCGGGCUAGAGUAUGGCAGAGGGGGGUAGAAUUCCACGUGUAGCAGUGAAAUGCGUAGAGAUGUGGAGGAAUACCGAUGGCGAAGGCAGCCCCCUGGGCCAAUACUGACGCUCAUGCACGAAAGCGUGGGGAGCAAACAGGAUUAGAUACCCUGGUAGUCCACGCCCUAAACGAUGUCAACUAGUUGUCGGGUCUUCAUUGACUUGGUAACGUAGCUAACGCGUGAAGUUGACCGCCUGGGGAGUACGGUCGCAAGAUUAAAACUCAAAGGAAUUGACGGGGACCCGCACAAGCGGUGGAUGAUGUGGAUUAAUUCGAUGCAACGCGAAAAACCUUACCUACCCUUGACAUGUA